This 69-nucleotide transfer RNA is filed under the name Rattus norvegicus (Norway rat). It matches the Rfam family "tRNA". From Rfam's summary of the family: Transfer RNA (tRNA) molecules are approximately 80 nucleotides in length. Their secondary structure includes four short double-helical elements and three loops (D, anti-codon, and T loops). Lineage: Eukaryota; Metazoa; Chordata; Mammalia; Rodentia; Muridae. The record is from Rfam by way of RNAcentral.
GGGGAUCUAGCUCAGUGGUAGAGCGCUUGCCUAGCAAGCGCAAGGCCCUGGGUUCAGUCCCCAGCUCCG